UACGUAGGGGGCAAGCGUUGUCCGGAUUUAUUGGGCGUAAAGAGCGUGUAGGCGGUCAGGUAGGUCCGUUGUGAAAACUCGAGGCUCAACCUCGAGACGCCGAUGGAAACCAUCUGACUAGAGUCCGGAAGAGGAGAGUGGAAUUCCUGGUGUAGCGGUGAAAUGCGCAGAUAUCAGGAAGAACACCGGUGGCGAAGGCGGGUCUCUGGGCCAAAACUGACGCUGAGGAGCGAAAGCGUGGGGAGCGAACAGG
This 253-nucleotide ribosomal RNA is filed under the name uncultured bacterium. RNAcentral describes it as "partial 16S ribosomal RNA". It matches the Rfam family "Bacterial small subunit ribosomal RNA", at positions 524 to 776 of the family's 1533-position model. The record is from RNAcentral.